Molecule: ribosomal RNA, 496 nt
Filed under: uncultured bacterium
Lineage: Bacteria
Description: partial 16S ribosomal RNA
Rfam family: Bacterial small subunit ribosomal RNA
Source: RNAcentral
AUGAACGCUGGCGGCGUGCCUAAUACAUGCAAGUCGAGCGCACGGACGAGAAGCUUGCUUCUCUGAUGUUAGCGGCGGACGGGUGAGUAACACGUGGAUAACCUACCUAUAAGACUGGGAUAACUUCGGGAAACCGGAGCUAAUACCGGAUGAUAUUUUGAACCGCAUGGUUCAAAAGUGAAAGACGGUCUUGCUGUCACUUAUAGAUGGAUCCGCGCUGCAUUAGCUAGUUGGUAAGGUAAUGGCUUACCAAGGCAACGAUGCAUAGCCGACCUGAGAGGGUGAUCGGCCACACUGGAACUGAGACACGGUCCAGACUCCUACGGGAGGCAGCAGUAGGGAAUCUUCCGCAAUGGGCGAAAGCCUGACGGAGCAACGCCGCGUGAGUGAUGAAGGUCUUCGGAUCGUAAAACUCUGUUAUUAGGGAAGAACAUAUGUGUAAGUAACUGUGCACAUCUUGACGGUACCUAAUCAGAAAGCCACGGCUAACUACGUG